UGGCACCCUAAGCCAAUUUAUACCACAAGAGUGAGGCUCUUGACGAAGCUAGUCUUAUCUGUGAGAGUGGUGUGUAGCACAGUUGCACAGGUCGAAUUCCUCUGGAGCGAUAAAGUUCUAUCUGGGUGAAACGGAGAGUCAAGCGGUACAUGCACCAAUCACUAGGCCUGGGAGGGUGCAGGGUGCAAAGCGGCGUGCAGCAAAGUGUAUGGCCAGCACAAAAUACUCGCACUUUUGUCAUGCAUACCAUGCAGCAAGCAGUAGUGAAGCGGGUUGGUAGUGUGGCAAGAAGGCUGCGAUAGUUUUUAAGUCGGUGUAUGAAGGAGGAGAAUAAGCAGGAUAGAGAAGACACAAAAAAAAGGCCUAAAAGGAAAAGUAAAUGCUACAAAUGUCUACUAGUGUGUACUAAAUUAAUAAAGCGAGUGGUAAAGCUCAA
Molecule: long non-coding RNA, 436 nt
Organism: Anoplophora glabripennis (Asian longhorned beetle)
Lineage: Eukaryota; Metazoa; Arthropoda; Insecta; Coleoptera; Cerambycidae
Exons: 2
Source: RefSeq, a predicted model, not a curated record